GACUACAUGAAGCUGGAAUCGCUAGUAAUCGUAGAUCAGCAUGCUACGGUGAAUACGUUCCCGGGUCUUGUACACACCGCCCGUCACACCACGAGAGUUUGUAACACCCGAAGCCGGUGGAGUAACCAUUUUGGAGCUAGCCGUCGAAGGUGGGACAAAUGAUUGGGGUGAAGUCGUAACAAGGUAGCCGUAUCGGAAGGUGCGGCUGGAUCACCUCCUUUCUAAGGA
Molecule: ribosomal RNA, 228 nt
Filed under: Staphylococcus delphini
Lineage: Bacteria; Bacillati; Bacillota; Bacilli; Caryophanales; Staphylococcaceae
Description: partial 16S ribosomal RNA
Rfam family: Bacterial small subunit ribosomal RNA
Source: RNAcentral